GAGUUUGAUCGUGGCUCAGAUUGAACGCUGGCGGCAUGCCUUACACAUGCAAGUCGAACGGCAGCACGGGAGCUUGCUCCUGGUGGCGAGUGGCGAACGGGUGAGUAAUGCAUCGGAACGUAUCCUGGAGUGGGGGAUAACGUAGCGAAAGUUACGCUAAUACCGCAUAUUCUGUGAGCAGGAAAGCGGGGGACCUUCGGGCCUCGCGCUCUUGGAGCGGCCGAUGUCGGAUUAGCUAGUUGGUGAGGUAAAGGCUCACCAAGGCGACGAUCCGUAGCAGGUCUGAGAGGAUGAUCUGCCACACUGGAACUGAGACACGGCCCAGACUCCUACGGGAGGCAGCAGUGGGGAAUCUUCCGCAAUGGACGAAAGUCUGACGGAGCAACGCCGCGUGUAUGAUGAAGGUCUUCGGAUUGUAAAGUACUGUCUUUGGGGAAGAACGGUCUUCUUGAAAAUAUUGAGGAGACAUGACGGUACCCAAGGAGGAAGCCCCGGCUAACUACGUGCCAG
Molecule: ribosomal RNA, 510 nt
Filed under: bacterium enrichment culture clone ALO1_GLFRUDD03GLIY0
Lineage: Bacteria
Description: bacterial SSU rRNA
Rfam family: Bacterial small subunit ribosomal RNA
Source: RNAcentral